This 253-nucleotide ribosomal RNA is filed under the name uncultured bacterium. RNAcentral describes it as "partial 16S ribosomal RNA". It matches the Rfam family "Bacterial small subunit ribosomal RNA", at positions 524 to 776 of the family's 1533-position model. The record is from RNAcentral.
UACGUAGGUGGCAAGCGUUAUCCGGAAUUAUUGGGCGUAAAGAGCGCGCAGGUGGUUAAUUAAGUCUGAUGUGAAAGCCCACGGCUUAACCGUGGAGGGUCACUGGAAACUGGUUGACUUGAGUGCAGAAGAGGGAAGUGGAAUUCCAUGUGUAGCGGUGAAAUGCGUAGAGAUAUGGAGGAACACCAGUGGCGAAGGCGGCUCCCUGGUCUGCAACUGACACUGAGGCGCGAAAGCGUGGGGAGCAAACAGG